This 29-nucleotide non-coding RNA is filed under the name Homo sapiens (human). Lineage: Eukaryota; Metazoa; Chordata; Mammalia; Primates; Hominidae. The record is from RNAcentral.
UCAACCUCAAGACGGAGGAAUUUGUGCUG